GCCAUAGCCGCAAAAGGAGCAGGUAAUUGUAAAAGGAUUGUUGCAAGGGAAACUAGUGAAUUCCUUUUUUCACAUUGUUUUGUUUGAGUUAUUUCCACUUGACCUCUUAAACAGAUGAUCUCCAUUUCUUGAGCACCAUUCUUUAGCUUGAGCAUUGAUGAUGGGUUGGUUUGGUUCAUUCUUGCCCUUGUUGGGUGUCUGAAUAUCAAAACCCUGUACACAGGUGUUGUGCACUAAGUAAGCGUGUAAACUGUAAAGAAAUA
Molecule: unclassified non-coding RNA, 263 nt
Filed under: Hevea brasiliensis (rubber tree)
Lineage: Eukaryota; Viridiplantae; Streptophyta; Magnoliopsida; Malpighiales; Euphorbiaceae
Source: RNAcentral